This 426-nucleotide ribosomal RNA is filed under the name uncultured bacterium. Its description in RNAcentral is "bacterial SSU rRNA". It matches the Rfam family "Bacterial small subunit ribosomal RNA", at positions 356 to 773 of the family's 1533-position model. The record is from RNAcentral.
GGGGAAUUGUUCGCAAUGGGCGCAAGCCUGACGACGCAACGCCGCGUGGAGGAUGAAGAUCUUCGGGUCGUAAACUCCUUUCGAUCGAGACGAAUGGCCCUUGGGCUAACAUCCUGAGGGAAUGACGGUACCGAGAGAAGAAGCCCCGGCUAACUCCGUGCCAGCAGCCGCGGUAAUACGGAGGGGGCGAGCGUUAUUCGGAAUUAUUGGGCGUAAAGGGCGCGUAGGCGGCUGUACAAGUCAAAGGUGAAAUCCCUCGGCUCAACUGAGGAACUGCCUUUGAAACUGUACGGCUUGAGGCCGGGAGGGGGUAGCGGAAUUCCCAGUGUAGCGGUGAAAUGCGUAGAUAUUGGGAGGAACACCAGUGGCGAAGGCGGCUACCUGGACCGGUUCUGACGCUGAUGCGCGAAAGCGUGGGUAGCAAAC